UUGUUUGAGCCAUCCUCGUUAUUACAUCGCUUGCUGUUUCAUAUACAGUAACGAUGGGUAGAGGUAGAUAGAACCC
RNAcentral lists this microRNA precursor (76 nucleotides) under Heligmosomoides polygyrus. RNAcentral's name for it is "microRNA hpo-mir-10083 precursor". The record is from miRBase by way of RNAcentral. Lineage: Eukaryota; Metazoa; Nematoda; Chromadorea; Rhabditida; Heligmosomidae.